This 423-nucleotide ribosomal RNA is filed under the name uncultured bacterium. RNAcentral's name for it is "partial 16S ribosomal RNA". It matches the Rfam family "Bacterial small subunit ribosomal RNA", at positions 360 to 774 of the family's 1533-position model. The record is from RNAcentral.
AAUCUUCCGCAAUGGACGAAAGUCUGACGGAGCGAUGCCGCGUGAGUGAUGAAGGUCUUCGGAUCGUAAAACUCUGUUGUUAGGGAAGAAAAAGUAUCGGAGUAAUAUGCCGGUACCUUGACGGUACCUAACAAGAAAGCACCGGCUACCUAAGUGCCAGCAGCCGCGGUAAUACGUAUGGGGCAACGGUUGCCCCGAAUUAUUUGGCGUAAAGGGCACGCAGGCGGUUAUUUAAAUCUGAUGUGAAAUCUUGUGGCUUAACCCCAAGCGGUCAUUGGAAACUGGAUAACUUGAGUACAGAAGAGGAGAGUGGAAUUCCACGUGUAGCGGUGAAAUGCGUAGAGAUGUGGAGGAACACCAGUGGCGAAGGCGGCUCUCUGGUCUGUAACUGACGCUGAGGUGCGAAAGCGUGGGUAGCGAACA